AAUAUUGGGCAAUGGGCGCAAGCCUGACCCAGCAACGCCGCGUGAGUGAAGAAGGUUUNCGGAUCNCNAAACUCUGUCAUUGGGGNCGAAUAAAUGACGGUACCCAUGGAGGAAGCCCCGGCUAACUACGUGCCAGCAGCCGCGGUAAUACGUAGGGGGCAAGCGUUGUCCGGAAUUAUUGGGCGUAAAGGGUGCGUAGGCGGCCUUUUAAGUCAGAUGUGAAAGCCCACGGCUCAACCGUGGGAUUGCAUUUGAAACUGGAGGGCUUGAGUAUCGGAGAGGGUAGUGGAAUUCCCAGUGUAGCGGUGAAAUGCGUAGAUAUUGGGAGGAACACCAGUGGCGAAGGCGACUACCUGGACGAUUACUGACGCUGAUGCACGAAAGCUAGGGGAGCAAACA
This 399-nucleotide ribosomal RNA is filed under the name uncultured bacterium. Its description in RNAcentral is "partial 16S ribosomal RNA". It matches the Rfam family "Bacterial small subunit ribosomal RNA", at positions 360 to 774 of the family's 1533-position model. The record is from RNAcentral.